Molecule: non-coding RNA, 28 nt
Filed under: Cricetulus griseus (Chinese hamster)
Lineage: Eukaryota; Metazoa; Chordata; Mammalia; Rodentia; Cricetidae
Source: RNAcentral
UUUAGUAGUAAAUUAAGAAUAGAGAGCU